UACAGAGGGGGCGAGCGUUGUUCGGAGUUACUGGGCGUAAAGGGCGCGUAGGCGGCCCGCUAAGUCGAACGUGAAAUCCCCAGGCUCAACCUGGGAACUGCGUCCGAUACUGGCAGGCUUGAAUCCGGGAGAGGGAUGUGGAAUUCCAGGUGUAGCGGUGAAAUGCGUAGAUAUCUGGAGGAACACCGGUGGCGAAGGCGACAUCCUGGACCGGUAUUGACGCUGAGGCGCGAAAGCCAGGGGAGCAAACGGG
Molecule: ribosomal RNA, 253 nt
Filed under: uncultured bacterium
Lineage: Bacteria
Description: partial 16S ribosomal RNA
Rfam family: Bacterial small subunit ribosomal RNA
Source: RNAcentral